Molecule: ribosomal RNA, 253 nt
Filed under: uncultured bacterium
Lineage: Bacteria
Description: partial 16S ribosomal RNA
Rfam family: Bacterial small subunit ribosomal RNA
Source: RNAcentral
GACGGAGGGUGCUAGCGUUGUUCGGAAUUACUGGGCGUAAAGGGCGCGUAGGCGGCCGUUUGCGUCGGAUGUGAAAGCCCGGGGCUCAACCCCGGAACGGCAUCCGAUACGGGACGGCUGGAGACCGGGAGAGGAGGGUGGAAUAGCCAGUGUAGAGGUGAGAUUCGUAGAUAUUGGCUGGAACACCGGUGGCGAAAGCGGCUCUCUGGCCCGGUUCUGACGCUGAGGCGCGAAAGCGUGGGGAGCAAACAGG